AGGUUAAUGCAGCAGAUUUCAUUAUGUGCAUGAAAGUGCCUCAGUGUGACACACCUCUUAUGACAAGGAUAUCAGGUCCCUUUGACGACAUCAGGAGCAGUGAUUUUAAAUGCAGCCCUGUUUAUAAGCCACACCUCUGGCUUUUUCAAUUGACUUUCGUCAUCUUGAACCAGCCGGGAUGACGCAUUGUUCAGAAAGUUUGUUGUUUUAUUUUCAAGUAAAGAGUCCAACUCUUUCAUUUCUCUGUCAGAAUAUGAAGGUGCCGCAGGUAAAUCAACAAAGGUUAAAUGUCAGGAAAUGUUUAUUGGUUUCAGCAUUUAAAUUAAAAGUGGAACUUGUGCAGUUUCAUUAAACUCAGAAUAUAUUUCAA
Long non-coding RNA from Xiphophorus hellerii (green swordtail), 370 nucleotides. RefSeq lists it as uncharacterized. The record is from RefSeq and is a predicted model, not a curated record. Lineage: Eukaryota; Metazoa; Chordata; Actinopteri; Cyprinodontiformes; Poeciliidae. The transcript has 2 exons.